AGCAAACAUGGUAUCAUUGGAGAAAGAAAUUCUGAUGCGUUUUUUUCAGCCACACUUCUGUCCAUACGGUUAUUUUUUAUGGGAAAAUCUCUUUGGUGUUCCAGCUAAGGAACCCAUCUGCUUCCAGUAUCAAGGAAACAUACACUUUUAACAGAUGGGAAACAGGUCCAGGGUCACAAACCAGUCAGCGGUAGGUUUGGAGACUCAGUGAAGUCACCAUGAACCCAGCACUAGAAAUUUGCCUUUACACAAGAAAUAAUAGGAUGCUGAAAAAAAAUUGCAAUGUAAAGUGAUAACAGAGAGAAUAUCUGAAAUCUGAAAUCUGAAAUAAAUUUUCAUCAUUUUUCUUUCACUUUAUCCAUUAAUGGCUCUCCUCAAUUUAUGUCAGUUGAUCACAUGAAGACAUUAAUACCUGCAUCACUUUAACUUACAUAAGAACCUACCUUUGCCAGGGAACUCCUCUAUUUUGAGACACCGAGAGAAUAAGACUUCCCCCCUCCCCCCUCCCCACCACAGUCCCCAGAGUAUGGUAUUCCCCUUCCUGUGUCCAUGUGAUCUCAUUGUUCAAUUCCCACCUAUGAGUGAGAAUAUGCGGUGUUUGGUUUUUUGUUCUUGCGAUAGUUUACUGAGAAUGAUGGUUUCCAAUUUCAUCCAUGUCCCUACAAAGGAUAUGAACUCAUCAUUU
This 685-nucleotide long non-coding RNA is filed under the name Pan troglodytes (chimpanzee). RNAcentral describes it as "long non-coding RNA NONPTRT015244". The record is from RNAcentral. Lineage: Eukaryota; Metazoa; Chordata; Mammalia; Primates; Hominidae.